GGGUAUAAAAAUACAGGUAAACUCUAGAGUAAUCUGAGAAUAAAAUGAUGUAUGAAAAACCUUGGAUCCUUUCUCGUUCUCUUUUGCCAUCAUUUUAUAGAUAUUUGGAGAAGGAUUGUUACGGCAACAUGAUCUCCGGUGAGGAUCUGGUGCAUUGAAGACUGUCUUCAAUGUUGAUUUUCUUAACGUUUUGGUUUGACCGGGUCAUGUCAGGUCGGAAUUAUCUCUAUUUCGAGUUUAUAAUUGUUUUCUUUCUUCAUGGGCCAUGUUAUUCUUCUAAUGGUCUUUUGGUUUACUGAAUUGGAUCUUAGAUCGGGUUUGGAAUGGA
Molecule: long non-coding RNA, 328 nt
Filed under: Brassica napus (rape)
Lineage: Eukaryota; Viridiplantae; Streptophyta; Magnoliopsida; Brassicales; Brassicaceae
Description: long non-coding RNA (BNAP_LNC013201)
Source: RNAcentral